CACCACAGGCCCCAAGGGCCAGUAGCCAAUCACAGUGUAAAGAGUGUACAGGUUCAUAGAAAAGACACCAAUAAUCAAGUCGGCACAUGCCAAGCUGAACAGGAAGUAGUUGUUGACAGUCUGCAGGUGCCUGUUGACUUUGAUGGACACCAUGACCAGGAUGUUCCCAAUGAUGGUCACUAGACUGAGAGAUCCUGCUACCAGGACUAUGAAGACCACCUCAACAGUUUUAUAGGGACUCCCCAGUGCCAUAACAUCCUCGGCGGAGGAGUUUAUAGUCUCAAAACUGCCUGAAAUAUUCAUGUGAUGGGAAAGGAAGAAAGUGAAGAGUCAAUUGUUUAAUUAUCUACUAGUUUCAAACUGGCUGAUACAUGUCGGGGAGUUGGAUGCAGACAGGAGAAAGACCCCACUGGAGCAAAGAUGGUGGUGUAGAAGCUAUGUGAGAAGAACCCACCAUCACAGCAGGAGAGAAGGAAUGGUAGAUAAUGCAGAGGAUCAAGUGCAUUCAUUGCCAGGGAGAUAAUGAAGAGGCGCUGUGUUGUUUGUUUGCUUUGACAAUUGCACAUGCCAGAGAAAUAGGCGCAAGCUUCAGGUGGGGCUUGAAGGGCAUGCCCUAUCCUACACAGAUGGAGUGGAGUCUUCAGUCAGGGAGUGGAUGAUGCCU
This is a long non-coding RNA of Mauremys mutica (yellowpond turtle), 664 nucleotides long. RefSeq lists it as uncharacterized. Lineage: Eukaryota; Metazoa; Chordata; Testudines; Geoemydidae. The record is from RefSeq and is a predicted model, not a curated record. The transcript has 4 exons.